This 251-nucleotide ribosomal RNA is filed under the name uncultured prokaryote. Its description in RNAcentral is "partial 16S rRNA". It matches the Rfam family "Bacterial small subunit ribosomal RNA", at positions 525 to 775 of the family's 1533-position model. The record is from RNAcentral.
ACGGAGGAUGCAAGCGUUAUCCGGAUUUAUUGGGUUUAAAGGGUGCGCAGGCGGAUCAAUAAGUCAGGGGUGAAAACUUUCAGCUCAACUGGAAUCGUGCCUUUGAUACUGUUGGACUAGAGUAUAAUUGAAGUGGGUGGAAUGUGACGUGUAGCGGUGAAAAGCUUAGAUAUGACACAGAACGCCAAUCGUGAAGACAGCAAACGAAAUUAUAACUGACGCUCAUGCACGAAAGCGUUGUGAUCACACAG